RNAcentral lists this ribosomal RNA (409 nucleotides) under uncultured Nitrososphaerota archaeon. Its description in RNAcentral is "bacterial SSU rRNA". It matches the Rfam family "Archaeal small subunit ribosomal RNA", at positions 452 to 861 of the family's 1478-position model. The record is from RNAcentral. Lineage: Archaea; Thermoproteati; Nitrososphaerota.
CUGGUGUCAGCCGCCGCGGUAAUACCAGCACCCCGAGUGGUCGGGACGAUUAUUGGGCCUAAAGCAUCCGUAGCCGGCCUUACAAGUCCUCCGUUAAAUCCAGCUGCUUAACAGAUGGGCUGCGGAGGAUACUAUAAGACUAGGAGGCAGGAGAGGCAAGCGGUACUCAGUGGGUAGGGGUAAAAUCCGUUGAUCCAUUGAAGACCACCAGUGGCGAAGGCGGCUUGCCAGAAUGCGCUCGACGGUGAGGGAUGAAAGCUGGGGGGGCAAACCGGAUUAGAUACCCGGGUAGUCCCAGCUGUAAACGAUGCAGACUCGGUGAUGGACUAGCUUUAUGCUGGUCCAGUGCCGCAGGGAAGCCGUUAAGUCUGCCGCCUGGGUAGUACGGUCGCAAGACUGAAACUUAAAG